ACUCCUACGGGAGGCAGCAGUGGGGAAUUUUGGACAAUGGGCGAAAGCCUGAUCCAGCAAUGCCGCGUGUGCGAAGAAGGCCUUCGGGUUGUAAAGCACUUUUGUUAGGGAAGAAAUCUUCCGGGCCAAUACCCCGGUUGGAUGACGGUACCUUUCGAAUAAGCACCGGCUAACUACGUGCCAGCAGCCGCGGUAAUACGUAGGGUGCAAGCGUUAAUCGGAAUUACUGGGCGUAAAGCGUGCGCAGGCGGCACUACAAGACAGAUGUGAAAUCCCCGGGCUCAACCUGGGAAUUGCAUUUGUGACUGUAGAGCUAGAGUGUGUCAGAGGGGGGUGGAAUUCCACGUGUAGCAGUGAAAUGCGUAGAGAUGUGGAGGAACACCGAUGGCGAAGGCAGCCCCUGGGAUAACACUGACGCUCAGAUGCGAAAGCGUGGGGAGCAAACAGGAUUAGAUACCCUGGUAGCUA
RNAcentral lists this ribosomal RNA (468 nucleotides) under uncultured bacterium. RNAcentral's name for it is "bacterial SSU rRNA". It matches the Rfam family "Bacterial small subunit ribosomal RNA", at positions 335 to 796 of the family's 1533-position model. The record is from RNAcentral.